UACGAAGGGGGCUAGCGUUGCUCGGAAUCACUGGGCGUAAAGGGCGCGUAGGCGGAUCUUUAAGUCGGGGGUGAAAGCCCAGGGCUCAACCCUGGAAUUGCCUUCGAUACUGAAGAUCUCGAGACCGGAAGAGGUAAGUGGAACUGCGAGUGUAGAGGUGAAAUUCGUAGAUAUUCGCAAGAACACCAGUGGCGAAGGCGGCUCACUGGCCCGAUACUGACGCUGAGGCACGAAAGCGUGAGGAGCAAACAGG
Molecule: ribosomal RNA, 253 nt
Filed under: uncultured bacterium
Lineage: Bacteria
Description: partial 16S ribosomal RNA
Rfam family: Bacterial small subunit ribosomal RNA
Source: RNAcentral